This 1239-nucleotide ribosomal RNA is filed under the name Triticum aestivum (bread wheat). RNAcentral describes it as "partial small subunit ribosomal RNA". Lineage: Eukaryota; Viridiplantae; Streptophyta; Magnoliopsida; Poales; Poaceae. The record is from RNAcentral.
AUGCGUGCCCCACCCAAUGCAUCACCACUCUCGGACACUUAUUUCCUCCCAAAUGACAGAGCGACGAUCCUGGAGCAAAUGGAUGUUGACAACCAGGUUGCAAAAUUGAUGGUAGAGCUUUUCCGUAGUCAAGACUAUGAAAUUGGGGAUGGUACUACUGGGGUGGUGGUCCUGGCAGGGUCGCUCCUGGAGCAAGCUGAGAAACUGCUAGAGCGUGGUAUUUAUCAAGUAAGAAUCACCGAAGGAUAUGAGAUGGCUUCCAAGAUAGCUUUUGAUCACCUUGAACAUAUCUCCACUAGGUUUGAGUUCACUGCUACAAAUAUAGAGCCCUUGGUGCAGACCUGCAUGACAACUCUGUCCUCAAAGAUUGUUAACCGUUGUAAGUGGAUGCUUGCUGAGAUUGCUGUCAGGGAAGUCUUUGCUAUUGCUGAUUUGGAAAGGAAGGACGUAAACUUGGACUUGAUUAAAGUAGAAGAUAAAGUUGGUGGGAAGCUAGAGGACACUGAGCGAAUAUAUAGAAUUGCUAUUGAUAAAGAUAUGAGACACCCACAAAUGCCAAAGAGAAUCGAGGAUGCUAAUAUUGCCAUCCUUACCUGCCCAUUUCAGCCCCCAAAGCCCAAGACUAAGCAUAAGGUUGACAUUGACACCGUAGAAAAUUCCAGACGAUGCAUGGACAAGACCAAUCAUUUGCUCAUGCAAAAAAAUCUGCCCGCUGUCAGAUGGGUUGGUGGUGUUGAAUUGGAAUUGAUUGCCAUAGCUACAUGCAGGGGACACGAUGUUUUACCCAGGUUCGGGCCCUCUCGGGUUGUGUUCCUCGCCCACUUCAUCUACGGACUGGGAUUCCCCCUCCACCCAUUUGUCCGCGGGCUUCCUCCUCCCACCACCGAGGACCGCAGAUUUAGCACCAAGCGCCACGCCAAUUCGGUAAGCAUUCUACAUUUCUCAAGAUGUGCCUUUCCUCAGUAUAUUCAUGGGAGGAACUUAAGCCACCGUACUGAUUUAACAGGAUUAUGUGGCGACGGCAGAGCGGAUCGACUGUCCGGUUCCCAAGAGCUCCAGGAUUUCAUCAAAAAAUUCGAGUCCUUGGAGCGUGACUCCAAGACGCAAGAGUCGGAGCUUGCGAAGGCCUGUCAGAGCAUGCAAGAUGCCAAGGUUGCAAUGUUUAGAGCUAUCAAACAACAUGUUAUAGGAACUUAUCAUGGCAAACAAAGGCAUGGCAUGAAUCUACUAAAUUCAUAG